This 450-nucleotide ribosomal RNA is filed under the name uncultured bacterium. RNAcentral describes it as "partial 16S ribosomal RNA". It matches the Rfam family "Bacterial small subunit ribosomal RNA", at positions 338 to 795 of the family's 1533-position model. The record is from RNAcentral.
CCUACGGGUGGCUGCAGUCGAGGAUCUUCGGCAAUGGGCGCAAGCCUGACCGAGCGACGCCGCGUGCGGGAUGAAGGCCUUCGGGUUGUAAACCGCUGUCAGUGGGGAGGAAAUGCAGGUGGGUUCUCCCAUCUGUUUGACCUAUCCGCAGAGGAAGGGUGGGCUAAGUUCGUGCCAGCAGCCGCGGUAAGACGAACCACCCAAAGGAUAUUCGGAAUUACUGGGCUUGAAGGGUGCGUAGGCUGCGUAGGAAAUCCCUCGGAUCAACCGAGGAACUGCGCCCAAAACUACUGUGCUCGAGGGAGACAGAGGUGAGCGGAACUUAGGGUGGAGCGGUGAAAUGCGUUGAUAUCCUAAGGAACACCCGUGGCGAAAGCGGCUCACUGGGUCUCUUCUGACGCUGAUGCACGAAAGCUAGGGGAGCGAACGGGAUUAGAUACCCCAGUAGUC